GAAUCCAAUCCAAGCCAAGCAUUACCGAAUCAGAAAUAAGGCCCAAUUGAUGUCCCUUCAAGCAACCAGUCCCUUCAAGCGGACGCGAUUAGAUCUUGGGAUAUGAUGGGCGUGCAAUCGGGAGGGGACUCGAAUAGCGACAGAGAGAACUGCUUGUAGACGACGCCGACGUCGAAGUAGAUGAGGCCGGAGCUCGGGAUGUCGACGCGGAUCCCGCGGACCGGGAACCAGAGGAAUAGCUCCUGCGCCUCGAUGCCGGAGAGGGCGCCGAUCUGGCCGUACGAGAGGAUGCCAGAGACGUUUGCAGCGUAUUGGACCUCGGUCUCGA
Molecule: unclassified non-coding RNA, 328 nt
Filed under: Hevea brasiliensis (rubber tree)
Lineage: Eukaryota; Viridiplantae; Streptophyta; Magnoliopsida; Malpighiales; Euphorbiaceae
Source: RNAcentral